GAUGAACGCUGGCGGCGUGCCUAAUACAUGCAAGUCGAGCGAACAGACGAGGAGCUUGCUCCUCUGACGUUAGCGGCGGGCGGGUGAGUAACACGUGGAUAACCUACCUAUAAGACUGGGAUAACUUCGGGAAACCGGAGCUAAUACCGGAUAAUAUAUUGAACCGCAUGGUUCAAUAGUGAAAGACGGUUUUGCUGUCACUUAUAGAUGGAUCCGCGUCGCAUUAGCUAGUUGGUAAGGUAACGGCUUACCAAGGCAACGAUGCGUAGCCGACCUGAGAGGGUGAUCGGCCACACUGGAACUGAGACACGGUCCAGACUCCUACGGGAGGCAGCAGUAGGGAAUCUUCCGCAAUGGGCGAAAGCCUGACGGAGCAACGCCGCGUGAGUGAUGAAGGUCUUCGGAUCGUAAAACUCUGUUAUUAGGGAAGAACAAAUGUGUAAGUAACUAUGCACGUCUUGACGGUACCUAAUCAGAAAGCCACGGCUAACUACGUG
Molecule: ribosomal RNA, 497 nt
Filed under: uncultured bacterium
Lineage: Bacteria
Description: partial 16S ribosomal RNA
Rfam family: Bacterial small subunit ribosomal RNA
Source: RNAcentral